Patella vulgata (common limpet) is the source of this 2187-nucleotide long non-coding RNA. RefSeq lists it as uncharacterized. The record is from RefSeq and is a predicted model, not a curated record. Lineage: Eukaryota; Metazoa; Mollusca; Gastropoda; Patellidae. The transcript is spliced from 5 exons.
AGACACGAUGUGUAAACAAUACUGCAUCUAAACAAACCUGAUAUAUAUCAUAAACAAACAUUAUACUAUCAAAUUUUAUCCUUCGUACAUUUAUUCAGGAUCUUGUUUACAAAGUUACACCAGCCGCGACCGGACUGCCAUUGUUAGGAGUAACAGCGAAAGAAAUCACAAAGUUACAUCAACCAUGUUGACGUCACUGGGCUGCCAUUGUUAUUGCGAGUACUGAAGAUUUAGUGAUACCACGACACAGAAUUCACACGCGUGAACACGUGAACAUUCAAAAAUGCUGAUCCUGAUUUCGGUGUGUUUUCUGUCGCUGGUACCGGAUGCAGUAUCUGCUGUGCCUUUACCAAAUCGUCCAUUAGGAUUUGUGUAUAAUUGUAGUUGCGACAAUGCCCCCAUCAAGUUGUCGCUGUUUUUGGAGAUGUUGUGUCCAGAUAGUGAGAGGGCGGAUCCAACGCUAAGACAAGUAGCGGACUACUACGGUCCAGAAAGAGUACAGCUGACGUAUCAUCUGUUUCCGUUACCGUAUCACAUCCAUUCCUUCUCCGCCAGUAAGGCCGUUUAUAUAGUUGAUUUGGAAACCAGUGGAUUGAAGACAUUUGAGUUCAUGAGGCACAUGUUAACAAAUCGUGACCAGUUGUCUACGGGUAAUACCAUGAACAUAACUACUGAUACUGCCAUAAGACGUAUGGCGACUAGUGCUGAAAGAUAUGGUGUAGCAGUCAGUAGAUUUAUGUCUUUAAUGAGUCAUAGUGAUGUUGAACACGUAACAAUAGUAGCCUGGAAAUAUGCUUGUACUCGUCGUGUAACUGGUACACCGAUACAUUUUAUUAAUGGUAUCAAACGUGGCGCAUCAUCGUGGACGUUACAACAAUGGAAAGAUGUUAUAGAUCCACUUUUAAAUGAUUCUAGCGUCUUCUCUAAUCGGACAAUGAUUCCGAACAAAUGUGUUCGUCCCGCAAACAGAGUGUGUCGUCCUAGCACCUCUACCAUUGAACCUACGGGAGGAUCGGGAAGAAAUCGUUAUAACUAUGCCCUGCUACUUAUGAUACCAUUCUUAAAAUUGUUGAACUAAUCUGAAGACAACAUCAUUGUAACACACGAGCCCUAGUUGGAAAAUCCCCAAAAGUACCUGUGUUUACGGUUAUGCCCUCCCCACACACACACACACACACGCGCGCAUCUGAAAAUAGGGUAAGGCCUGGGGAAAGGCUGGGGGUGGGAGGGUAAUGAAUUAAUUAAAUAUUAGUAAUUUUGGUUUAUACCCAAUUUUAUUUCCAGUACGACAUGAAUAUAUACAAUACUGAUAAUGAAUUUGAAAACAAACCGAAGGUUAAAUACAUUUUCAUCAACAACGAUUUUAGAUCCAUAAAAUAAGGUCUCUAAGGUAACCGUUAACAUCGAUAUUUUUGAGGUAAUACCCUUCUCUGUGCCCGUGAAGUGUAUAAGAAGUGAUUGGUGUUCUGGCCAAAGAAAAAAUAUAACUGAGAUUUAAUAAAGACUCGAACUCUGUAUACGCUAAUUAUUCUGUGGUAAAGCCCAAUAAUUAUUGAGAUUUAAUGGCCAGUCUUAUAAAAUAUUGCAUAAUUGAUGAUUAUAUGAUAUUGUAUAAUUGAUAAUUAUAUGAAAUUGUAUAAUUGAUAAUUAUAUGAAAUUGUAUAGUUAUUAAUUAUAUGAAAUUUUAUAAUUGAUAAAUAUAUGAAAUUGUAUAAUUGAUAAUUAUAUGAAAUUGUAUAAUUGAUGAAUGCGUGCUGUACCAUAAAGUCUGUCAUUGAGUCAACUGGCGUGGUUUCGAUUCCCCGGUUGUGUUGUACGUGACAAGGAGUAGGAUGGCCUGUCCAACCUCGUGGGUUUUCUUCGGGUCCCCCGGUUUCCUCCCACUGCUAAAGACCCCUACGCGCAAGCGAAUUAUGGAAAUAAAAUUUAACCACAUGUUAGUCUCGAAAUGACCUAGUUUGUGUCGAGUGGACGUUAAACCCAAUUUCUUGCUCUCGCUCUAUUUUACGGGAAAUAAAUAGACAUACAGCCCAAUAAAGUGGUGGCUUUGAUCCGCCGAAAAGUACGAAAGGCAAAUGCCUAAAAAUAAUAUGAGAAUUAAACAUAUGUUUUCUACUAACCUUAUUUUUUUUUAAUUAAUUAAAUAUUCGUUUAUCUUUCUUUCUUUGUAUUAAAUUAAUAAUUGUG